UUUUUAUUAGUAUAAAUUAAAGUAUUUUUGUUUUCCAAACAAAGGGAUUAAUAUUAAAAUUAAAUAAAUAC
RNAcentral lists this transfer RNA (71 nucleotides) under Luteuthis dentatus. RNAcentral's name for it is "tRNA-Gly". Lineage: Eukaryota; Metazoa; Mollusca; Cephalopoda; Octopoda; Luteuthidae. The record is from RNAcentral.